CCUACGGGUGGCUGCAGUGGGGAAUAUUGGACAAUGGGGGGAACCCUGAUCCAGCCAUGCCGCGUGUGUGAAGAAGGCCCUCGGGUUGUAAAGCACUUUCAGUGAGGAAGAACGCCUGGUGGUUAAUACCCAUCAGGAAAGACAUCACUCACAGAAGAAGCACCGGCUAACUCCGUGCCAGCAGCCGCGGUAAUACGGAGGGUGCGGGCGUUAAUCGGAAUUACUGGGCGUAAAGCGCGCGUAGGUGGCUUGAUAAGCCGGUUGUGAAAGCCCCGGGCUCAACCUGGGAACGGCAUCCGGAACUGUCAAGCUAGAGUGCAGGAGAGGAAGGUAGAAUUCCCGGUGUAGCGGUGAAAUGCGUAGAGAUCGGGAGGAAUACCAGUGGCGAAGGCGGCCUUCUGGACUGACACUGACACUGAGGUGCGAAAGCGUGGGUAGCAAACAGGAUUAGAUACCCGUGUAGUC
This 465-nucleotide ribosomal RNA is filed under the name Vreelandella stevensii. RNAcentral describes it as "partial 16S ribosomal RNA". It matches the Rfam family "Bacterial small subunit ribosomal RNA", at positions 338 to 795 of the family's 1533-position model. The record is from RNAcentral. Lineage: Bacteria; Pseudomonadati; Pseudomonadota; Gammaproteobacteria; Oceanospirillales; Halomonadaceae.